GCCUUCCAUGAAGUCGGAAUUGCUAGUAAUGGCAGGUCAGCAUACUGCCGUGAAUACGUUCCCGGGCCCUUGUACACACCGCCCGUCACACCAUGAGAGUUGGAGAUACCCGAAGCCUAUGAGCUAACUUUUAGAGGCAGUAGUCGAAGGUAGAAUCAAUGAUUGGGGUGAAGUCGUAACAAGGUAAC
This 188-nucleotide ribosomal RNA is filed under the name uncultured bacterium. RNAcentral describes it as "partial 16S ribosomal RNA". It matches the Rfam family "Bacterial small subunit ribosomal RNA", at positions 1313 to 1500 of the family's 1533-position model. The record is from RNAcentral.